This 389-nucleotide ribosomal RNA is filed under the name uncultured bacterium. RNAcentral's name for it is "bacterial SSU rRNA". It matches the Rfam family "Bacterial small subunit ribosomal RNA", at positions 30 to 416 of the family's 1533-position model. The record is from RNAcentral.
AUUGAACGCUGGCGGCAUGCCUUACACAUGCAAGUCGAACGGCAGCACGGGAGCAAUCCUGGUGGCGAGUGGCGAACGGGUGAGUAAUGUAUCGGAACGUACCUUUCAGUGGGGGAGUAACGUAGCGAAGUUAACGCUAAUACCGCAUAUUCUGUGAGCAGGAAAGCAGGGGAGUCGCAAGACCUUGCGCUGAUUGAGCGGCCGAUAUCAGAUUAGCUAGUUGGUGAGGUAAAGGCUCACCAAGGCGACGAUCUGUAGCGGGUCUGAGAGGAUGAUCCGCCACACUGGAACUGAGACACGGUCCAGACUCCUACGGGAGGCAGCAGUGGGGAAUUUUGGACAAUGGGCGGCAAGCCUGAUCCAGCCAUGCCGCGUGAGUGAAGAAGGCC